Acanthosepion pharaonis is the source of this 111-nucleotide non-coding RNA. NCBI's taxonomy places the organism in Eukaryota, Metazoa, Mollusca, Cephalopoda, Sepiida, Sepiidae. The record is from the annotation of a GenBank genome assembly.
UGGCCAUAUGGUGUUGAAACACUAGUUCCCAUAUGAUUACUAAAGUUAAGCAAUGUCAAGCCUGGUCAGUACCUAGAUGAAUGACUACUUGCAAAUUCCAGGUGCUGUAAG